Molecule: ribosomal RNA, 292 nt
Filed under: uncultured bacterium
Lineage: Bacteria
Also listed under: 2 other names
Description: partial 16S ribosomal RNA
Source: RNAcentral
GGACUACUGGGGUAUCUAAUCCCGUUUGCUCCCCUAGCUUUCGCGCCUCAGCGUCAGAAGAGAUCCAGCCAUACGCUUUCGCCACCGGCGUUCCUUCCGAUAUCAACGCAUUUCACCGCUCCACCGGAAGUUCCUAUGGCCCCUACCUCCCUCGAGACAAGCAGUAUCCAAGGCACUUUUCCGGUUGAGCCGAAAGAUUUCACCCCGGACUUGCUUGCCCGCCUACGCGCCCUUUAAGCCCAGUGAUUCCGAACAACGUUCGCACGGUUCGUCUUACCGCGGCGGCUGGCAC